UAGGCGGCGGUAUACUGUAGUGUGCAGUUCGUGUCCGCAUCAUCAUACGCGCCAGUAUCGCUGGAAGACUGCAGGAACAGAAACCCCUGGAAAGGGUCCGAUGUCACGAUAUGGCGCUUUUCCAAUGUAGGGUACAACUUGGCUCGGUACGAUGCAGCUCAGCUCGCUUUCGUUGCUUUUCCAGUACAGUUUAGUAUCGCUUCAGAGUGGGUGAGAUUAUAGGCAGGGGUGCACAUAAGUGGUGCGUAUGUGCAAAUAGAAACAAUUUUAGCGUACCAGCGUUGCUGGAAUUUUGUUACAUAGUUAGCUAAUUUACUUCGACAUAAGGGAUUUCUUCGUGCAUCAGUGGUAAGAUAUUUUAUGUGUGUUGUUAGCAGUGAUCCGCAUCUCAAUGCUUCAGACAGCUUGCUAGUACAAGUAUACAUUUAUAUGAGUUAGGCUAGUAUUUAUUUAUAAAGAUUACAUAAGUAAAAACUAUAACUUAAAGGCUUAUUUUAUGUACAUCAUUGUCUACCAUGUUUAAACAAAAUAGAUAUGGCAAAGAGAGUAGUCAGGAGAAAAGUGAUGAUGUCAGCAUGUAGGAUGUCUGUGCUAUGAAUAGUGUGAGUACCAAGUAACAUCUCCAGGUGCUACUUUGAGAACCAGGACAAAAAAAGUUAUGUGCACCCCUGAUUAUAGGCUUAUUGUUACAGUUGCGUCCCCUCUACUGCCGUAACAUCAUCGUAAAUGCGAUACAAACACACACACACACACACACACACACAACAUGGAGCAACAGAGCAUAUUAAUGGAAUGCAGCCACAAAAUCAAAAUUGACACCCACAAGUAGAUUUUCCACUACCUCUCUCACAUGACAGGUUCUGUACAAACACCCGUGUCAUCGGUAUGUGCACUCCGCUGACAGAACAUUUAUGCCUAUACUUUUGGUGCGUUUUAAAUGCGGAGCCAUGCGCAAAGUUACAAAAUGCCAUGCAGACAUGGGUGCAGUGGUGUGCUCUGCAUUUUUGUAAAUUUGCACAUGGCUUCGCAUCCGAAACCCAUUACCCCUCUCCCAAAAGUCAGCUGUGCUGAACUGGGUCAUACUAUGCAAUGGAAAAGCAUCAAAAGUGUCCUACUUCCUGGCUUGAAGGAUUUAGCAGUUUCAGCGUUGGACUUGUGUUCCGCGUGUUUGGCCUCUUUAGCACUUGCUGUUUGAAAGUCAUUCCUUGCAACAGAUUGAGUGACUGUCAUUCUGCAUUUCUGUUUGCAUUGCUUUGCUUGCAUUUGAAUCCUUUGCAAUAAUAAAAGUUUUACAUUUGA
Non-coding RNA from Misgurnus anguillicaudatus (oriental weatherfish), 1299 nucleotides. The record is from RefSeq and is a predicted model, not a curated record. Lineage: Eukaryota; Metazoa; Chordata; Actinopteri; Cypriniformes; Cobitidae.